GGAUUAGAUACCCUGGUAGUCCACGCCGUAAACGAUGUGCACUAGCUCGAUGCAGAUCUGACUCUGUGUCGGGCGCCGAGAAAUCAUUAAGUGCACCGCCUGGGGAGUACGGUCGCAAGGCUAAAACUCAAAGGAAUUGACGGGGGCUCACACAAGCGGUGGAGCAUGUUGCUUAAUUCGAAGCAACGCGAAGAACCUUACCUGGGUUUGACAUGCACGGAUUAGUCAUUGGAAACAGUGAUGACGCUCUUCGAGUGGAACGUGCACAGGUGCUGCAUGGCUGUCGUCAGCUCGUGCCG
RNAcentral lists this ribosomal RNA (299 nucleotides) under uncultured bacterium. RNAcentral describes it as "partial 16S ribosomal RNA". It matches the Rfam family "Bacterial small subunit ribosomal RNA", at positions 775 to 1067 of the family's 1533-position model. The record is from RNAcentral.